This 9642-nucleotide long non-coding RNA is filed under the name Homo sapiens (human). RNAcentral describes it as "non-protein coding LINC00910:33". Lineage: Eukaryota; Metazoa; Chordata; Mammalia; Primates; Hominidae. The record is from RNAcentral.
GUUUUGAAAACGGUGUUGAUACAGUGGAAGGCUUGUGGUGUUGCUGGCCCUUGAUCGCUGGAAGGAUUCCGAGGUGUAGUUUUCGAAGCGGGAGUUUUGUUCGCAUUGGGCGCUUAGCGUCUGUUACUGUCGCUAACGGGAGAUUGUCAACGUGUUUGCAUUGGGCCAUUUGCAUCAGUUGGGACCGUUGUUACUGACCUCCUAGGUUGUGUGUUGCGUUUACACGCUUAAAUCCGGGUUUCACGGUCUCUUAGUACUCGCGUAUUUAAGCUCAUCGCGCGUACCUUACUUCUACGCGUUCACGUCGGUUCGUCCGGGCCUAUCAGCGCCGCUGCUUUUAAAUUGGCCGUGUGCGCUUUACGUUUGCACCUUUACGUCGGAUCACUGGGGUCCAUCAGCGCCGUAGUUUUUGAGCUGGCCGGGCGUGCUUUCGAGCGCUUAGUUGCUUUCGGUUUCACUUGGUUGCGGCGUGACGAUCAUUGAGUUAAAGGUUACUGCACUCACUUCAGUCGCCAUCGGUCUCCGUAAUCUGACUGCCCUUUGCUAUUACUUGCUUCACUCACAUACGAUAUGCGGACGGUCCUAUUUAAGUUGAGCGCCCAUACUUCACUAUCCCAAGUGGGACUGCUUUUUCAUUUACGUGUCUCUAUCCGAGGCAGUAUAAACAUCUUUCCAUUCAAGUUUACCGCAUGUGUUUCACUAUCGAGAGUCGGACUGCUUUUGGAUUUACGUGGCUUUGUGGGAUGCGGUAUGAAGAUCGUUGCAUUCAAGUUUACCGCCUCUACUUCACUGCAGAAUCUGACUGCCGUCAGAUCUGUAUGACAGAUUGUUGCAUUCGUUUUCUGCGGGUACGUCACUAUCCAGUCUACUUUUUCCAUUGACGUGGCUGAGUCAUAUGUAGUAUGACUGUCAGAGACGUUGGAACCUGAAGCGACCCCAUUUUGAGUGAGGGCUAGAAAAAUGAGGCCGGGACUUACGGGCCUGCAUUCUCAGAAGGAUAUUCCUAGCUUUCAGAUACUUACGGUUAAGGGAACAAAUUAAUGUUUACUGAAGAGACCCGAGUGUCCAGAUAGCUGGAUAUCUGGAGAACAAAGGCGUUCCUAAUUUUGCUUUAAAGGUAGUAAUAGGGAUUCUUGCAAAAUGUAAUAAUUAAAGUUAAUUAUCACAAACCCUUGUAACAGAACACCUCUCCCCAUGUGUACAAGCAUUGUACCUAGGGUGGAUACGUUCCUUCUCUUAGUUUCAGGAACGCCCUUCUCUGUCUGUGGAGUAGCUGUUCUUUCACCACUUUACUUUCUUAAUAAACUUGCUUUUAUUUUGCACCGCGGACUUGCCCUGAGUUAUUUCUUGCGCGAGACCCAAGAACCCUCUCUUUGGGUCUGGAUCGGGGCCCUUUUCCUGUGACGUAUUUCUGGCCACCACAGAUGGGACUAUAGUGCUUUGGGGAAGUGUUGGGGUCCUAUAACAUAUUUCUGGCGAAUGAUGGAAGGGACGAUACUGAAGAAACUCCCCCAACCCAAAGGAAGUAGACUGCAGCACUGCAGUAGUCAGUAGACUGACUUUGGGUAAGUGGUGGAGUGCCCGGGUAAAGAAUGGGAUUGGGUUAGAGGCCCAACUUAAUGGAGUUAGAGUCUUUCCUAAAAGAGAGUGGGUUAGAGGCCCCUCUUAAUAAAAGGCAAGGACACUUGACCGACCUCGGGUUAGAGGCCCGACCGAGGAGGGUUAGAGGCCCCUCCCAGUAAAGCCCCUCUCGGCUAAAAAACAGGUUUGACACCGCAGGCUAUGCUCUUUGUAUUAGUCUGCCUCGUCCUCCUUGUCUUGGUUGCUGUCUCCGUUUCAGUGUCAUUUUCAGGAGACUUCAUUUAACUGGUCUUAGGGAUUUUAACUGAUUCUUCUCCUAUGUCCCUCCCGAUUUCUGUCCGUUUGCUUGUGAAACACUGGGAACCAAAAGCAUUGGAGGAUCCGGCUCUAAAAUUGCUGAUUGAGAUUUGAUAUUUAACAGCUAUGAGCAGUAAGAUUCGAUAGAUGUGGUUGUGUUUUGUUGCUGCUGUGCUGAGUGUGAUUGAGAAGCACUAGGAUGGAAAUCAGGGGACUUUUCUCCUUGCUGUUUUGUUUGGUUUUGCACACUAAAAAAUCUCCUUUGUAGCUAAGUGCGGUGGCUCACACCUGUAAUCCCAGCACUUUGGGAGGCCGAGGCAGGCAGAUCACCUGAAAUCAGGAGUUCGAGACCAUCCUGGCCAACGUGUUGAAACCCCGUCUCUACUAAAAAUACAAACAUUACCCGGGUGUAGUGGCAGACAUCUGUAAUCCCAGCUUCUUGGGAUGCUGAGUCAGGAGAAUCGCUUUAAUCUAGGAGUCAGAGUUUGCAGUUAGCUGAGAUUGCACCACUGCACUCCAGCAGUCUUCUCAACAGAGCGAGACUCUGUCUCAAAAGAAAAUAAAAAAACUUUCUUUUCUUGGAUUCGGGCAAACCGUGUUUGCUUUGCUUUUCCAAUCCUCACUGCUGUUAUUGGUUACUCUGGUUGUUCCCAUCUAAAUCCUCUUCAUUUAUUUUGCCUUAUUCGACAUUUUUUUCAAAGUCCAUGUUGUGGUUUAUCUAAGAUUCAUAGCUCAGCUCACUUAUGUUAUUUGGAUAAUGUGAAUCAUGUUUGAUGAGAGGAAAAGAAGAAAAAGAUUUAGACAUACUAGGUGAUCCUUUAAUGCAAGCCCUGCUGUGGUUCAGCAGGCAUUUUUGGGUGGAGCGGAACCCCUUUCUGUCAGCUCUGAAGGUUCGUAUGUGUCAGUUCUUUCUCCCUGUAGUCCACCUGAAAGUUCUUGAGAACCCUUCGUCCCUUCUCCUUACCCAGCUAGUCCCACUCUGUACCCACCAUUCCCACAAAGAACUUAGCCCACCGAGUACUACUUAUAGUGCAGCCUGCUAUCAACCUCCAAAGGGAAAUCUUUGUCCACUUAGGUGGCAAAUCGGGAAGAGGGCACUGUGAGAGUACAUGUUCCCUUUUCUCCGUCUGGUUUGACCCUAUAUAUAGAGAAGGUUGGUCAUUUCUCUGAAGAUCCAGGAAAAUUUGUAGAUGAGUUUGAGAAAUCAACUCUGACCUAUAGUUUAACUUGGGAGGAUCUGCAUGUUUUGUUGUCUCUGUGUUGUACAGUGGAGGAGAAACAAUGCAUUUUGGGGACAGCUAGGACCCAUGCAGAUGAGGUAUUGGCUCGCAACCCGUACCAUACUAUGUAUCAGGCAGGAAGUAUAGCAGUUCCAGAUCAAGAUGCAGAGUGGAAUUAUCAAAGGCGCAGUGAGCACUUGGGGAGGAGAGAUCAUAUGGUCACUUGUUCGUUGGAAGGGAUGAAGAAAUGUAUGAAAAAGCCUGUUAUCUAUGAACAGGUUAAGGAAGAUUCUCAGGAUAAAGAUGAGAAUCCAGCAGCCAUCUGCACCCAAACCAGAUGCCAAAAUAACCAGGGAAGCCCAAGAGUGACGGGGCCCAAGACCUUCCGCUACACCUCCCGUCGGACAACUAGCCAUAUCUUCUGAGAAGCCUCAGAUAACCCUUGACAUGACAGGUAAUAAUAUUAACUUCCUUCUAGAAUGCUUACUCUGUUUUGACCCAUUAUAAUGGGCCUCUGUCAUCCCAAAACUCUAUGGUCAAGGGGAUAGACAGGCCCAUAGAUGCCAUUUUACCUAUCCUAUAAGCUGCUCUUCAGGGACUUUGGUUUUCUCCUGAAUGCCCCACCCUUGUUGGGAAGGGGUUUAUUAACUCAGCUGCAAACAGUAGUAUGUUUUGGAAAUGACAAGGCAGACAGAAAAUGCUUCUUCUCCUUUCCUGUGAAUAAAUACCAGGCUUUGUUGCUAGAUGCUCCUGAUACAACACUUAAAGUAUGCCAGAUUUUAAUCCAGCUACCUACUUGCCUGAACCCACAGGCACCCCAGAUCAUUCUUGGAUACAAGUUAUGGAGCAAGUUUACUCUAGCCGUCCACAUUUAAAAGAUGAGCCUCUAGAUAAUCCCAAAGUAGAAUGGUUUACAGAUGGAAAUAGCUUUGUGAAGGGGUGGGUUGCCCCUCCACACCUGUGGGUGUUUCUCAUUAGCUGGAACGAGAGACUUGGAAAAGAAAAAGACACAGAGACAAAGUAUAGAGAAAGAAAUAAGGGGACCCAGGGAACCAGCGUUCAGCAUAUGGAGGAUCCCGCCAGCCUCAGAGUUCCCUUAGUAUUUAUUGAUCAUUUUUGGGUGUUUCUCAGAGAGGGGGAUGUGGCAGGGUCAUAGGAUAAUAGUGGAGAGAAGGUCAGCAGAUAAACACGUGAACAAAAGUCUCUGCAUCAUAGACAAGGUAAAGAAUUAAGUGCUGUGCUUUAGAUAUGCAUACACAUAAACAUCUCAAUGCCUUACAGAGCAGUAUUGUUGCCCGCAUGUCCCACCUCCAGCCCUAAGGCGGUUUUCCCCUAUCUCAGUAGAUGGAGCAUACAAUCGGGUUUUAUACGGAGACAUUCCAUUGCCCAGGGAUGGGCAGGAGACAGAUGCCUUCCUCUUGUCUCAACUGCAAAGAGGCAUGCCUUCCUCUUAUACUAAUCCUCCUCAGCACAGACCCUUUACGGGUGUCGGGCUGGGGGACGGUCAGGUCUUUCCCUUCCCACGAGGCCAUAUUUCAGACUAUCGCAUGGGGAGAAACCUUGGACAAUACCUGGCUUUCCUAGGCAGAGGUCCCUGCGGCCUUCUGCAGUGUUUGUGUCCCUGGGUACUUGAGAUUAGGGAGUGGUGAUGACUCUUAAGGAGCAUGCUGCCUUCAAGCAUCUGUUUAACAAAGCACAUCUUGCACCGCCCUUAAUCCAUUCAACUCUGAGUUGACACAGCACAUGUUUCAGAGAGCACGGGGUUGGGGGUAAGGUCACAGAAUCUCAAGGCAGAAGAAUUUUUCUUAGUACAUAACAAAAUGGAGUCUCCUAUGUCUACUUCUUUCUACACAGACACAGUAACAAUCUGAUCUCUCUUGCUUUUCCCCACAAUACUGAUUCUAAGUAUGCCUUUCUGGCACUUCAUGCUCAUGCUGCUAUCUGGAAGGAACAGGGCCUUCCAACUGCUAAGGGAUCCCUAUAAAACAUCACUUAGAAAUUCGGAAUCUAUUGGAUGCUGUUUUGCUGCCCAAGGAAGUAGCUCUAAUCCAUUGCAGAGGACAUCAAAAAGGAGACUCUAGUGCGGCUAAGGGAAACUCCUUUGCAGAUGCAGCUGCUAAGACAGCAGCAUUAAAGGAGCUAGUUGGACCUGUCAGCAUGUUAGUGCCCUCAGCCAUGGUAAUGACAGAACCUGGGUAUACUGAAGAGGAACAAGAAUGGGCUAAAGGUCAGGGUUUAAUUCAAGAUCCUUCUGGCUGGCUUAUCAAUGACAACAAGCUGUUACUACCAGGUGCUAAUCAGUGGAAAAUAGCUAAGUAUUUGCAUGACUCUCUCUACUCAUCUGGAAAGAGAUUCCCUGUUUUAAUUAAUGCCCAGGCUUUUUGUAGGAAAAGACUUACUUAAAAUGGUAAAGCAGGUAACUCAGGCCUGUGACCUAUGUGCCCGGAAUAACCCAAAUAACCAAUCUUUACCUCCUCCCCUAAUAAGUCCUGUUUAGCAUAGGGGAAUGUACCUUGUUGAAGACUGACAAAUAGACUAUACUCAGAUGCCCCUAUGUAAAGGGUUGAAAUAUUUAUUGUUAGUCAUUAACACCUUUACUUGUUGGUUCAGGCUUUUCCUACCUGGUCUGAAAAGGCAAUUGAAGUUUCUAAACUCCUGUUAAAGGAAAUAAGUCUUAGAUUUGGUCCGCCUAAGAGUUUACAGAGCAAUCAUUGGCCAUGUUUCACAGUGACAAUUACCCAAAACGUAUCUUCAGCCCUAGGAAUUCAGUACCGCCUUCACUUGGCAAGGAGGCCACAGUCUUCAGGGAAAGUAGAAAGAGCUAAUCAAGCUCUAAAAAGGACUCUUGCUAAACUAUGCCAGGAGAUAUCAGAAACCUGGCUGUCUUUAUUACCUAUAGCCUUAUUAAGUGUUUGAGUGGCUCCUAAGGGAAAUCUAUGGCUCACCAGUUUUGAAAUUAUGUAUGGAAGGCCUUUCUUAACUACAGACCUCCUAAUAGACAUAGAUACUUUCAAGCUACAGAAUUAUGUGAUCAACUUAGAACAAAUGCAAAAUGCACUCCUUAAAUAUGGAAACCAAAGACUCCCUUCCCCCACUAAGAAAGAGACUCUUGUUACAACCCAGCCAGGAGAUUGAGUCCUGUUAGAAACUUGGAACUAUUCCCAGAAGAUCAACUUUCCCCAAAAUGGAAGGGACCCUAUCAAGUUCUCCUCAGUAUGCCAGCUAUAGUUAAACUUCUGGGAAUAAACAGCUGGGUCCACUUAUCUCGAAUGAAACCUGUCUCUUAUGAAGUCCCGCAAUCUGGUGGAACACAGACUGAUCCCGUUUAUCCCUGUGAGCCAAGCAGUGACCUCCGACUCCUGUUCAGAAGAAAUGAAAGAGAUGGGUAACCUAAAGAUAUGGAUUGGGAUUCUCCUUUUGGGUAGAAGUUGGAAUCAUGCAGAGAUUAACUUAUUUAUUGAGUGGGCAUAGGCUUUAGCCUCUCUACAUAAUCAGAUAAACUGCUGGGUAUGUGGACAUUUUAACAGCAGCCCAAGGGGAAACAUGUGCUUUGAUCAAAAUCGAAUGUUGUGUGUAUGUUUUUGACUAUUCACAUACUAUUACCCAGGCUAUGAAAGCUUUAGACACUCAUAUCUCUGCCAUUGGCGUGCUGUCAAUCGACCCUAUAUUGGCUUGGUUUCAACAACUGCCUAGUUCUUGGAAAGACUUCCUGUUUAGUUUACUUGGAAUAAUUUUACUUACUUUGCUUUGCUGCUGUGGAAAAUAUUGUGGUUGAGCUCUUUGUGUAGGAAUGCAAGACAAGCUCACUCAAUGCUUUUUUAAAUUGGACACUUACUAAUCUUCCAGAUAUCACCUUUCGUCAGAACUCAGAGUUAUGAAUGACAUUUACCAUAUCAACGCUCUCUGAGCUUUUCUCUAUCCCGAAUGCAAGAGACUGUAAUAGUUAGGCAGCAAUAUCAUUGCCCCAAUUCAGCCUGAAGAAGUUACACAAGACAGAUCUUCAUCUUGCUGCAACCCUUAGGAUUAAGGGUCCUGUUGUAAAGGGAGUGGGGAGAUAUGUCCGAGGCAUUUGAACCAAAGCGACUCCAUUUUGAGGGAGGGCUAGGAAAAUGAGGCUGGGACUUUCUGGGCUGGAUUCUGAGAAAGUCAGGCAUUCCUAGCCUCUAGAUGUUUAUGGCUAAGGGAACAAAUUAAUAAUGUUUACUAAACAGACCCAAACGUGGCAAUGUCCAGAUAUGUCGAUAUCUGGAGAACAAAGGCAUUCCUAAUUUUGCUUCAAAGAUGAUAAUAUCGGUUCUUGCAAAAUACAGUAAUUGAGAACAUUAAUCUUUUAUCACAAACCCUUGUAGCAGAGCACAUCUCCCCAAAUAUACAAGCAUUGUACCUAGGAUAGAUGUGUUCCUCCUCUUACUUUUGGGAAUGUCCUAUUCUGUCUAUGGAGUAGCUGUUUUUUCACCACUUUGCCUUCUUAAAAAACUUGCAUUUACUUUGCACUGAGGGCUCAUCCUGAAUUCUUUCUUGUGUGAGAUUCAAGAACCCUCUCUUGGGGUCUGGAUUGGGGCCCCUUUCCUGUAACAUGAUUGCUGCAUUCAAGUUUUCUGUGUGUACGUUACUAUCUAGAGUCUGACUUCUUUUUGAUUCACUUGGCUCACUCACAUGCAGUAUGAAGAUUGCUGCCUUCAAUGUCAUGGCGUGUAUGUCACUAUUAGGAGUCUUACCACUUUUCAAUUCACUUGGCUUAGUCAGAUGCGGUAUGAAUAUCACUGCAUUCAUAUUCGUCACAUGUACGUCACUAUCCAGAGUCUAACUACAUUUCAAUUCACCUGGCUCAGUCAGAGGGGUAUAAAGAGCCUGUCAUUUAAAUUUAUGACAUGUACUUUGCUCUCCAGAGUCUGACUAAUUUUCGAUUCACUUGACUCAGUUAGAUGUGGUAUGAAGAUGAUUGACUUCCAGUUACCGCAUGAACAUCACUCUGCUGAGUCUAUUUUUUGAUUCACGUGGCUCAGUAGAUAUGGUAUGAAGAUCACUGCAUUCACGUUUACCACGUGUAUAUCACCAGAGUGUGACUUACUUUCCAUUCACUUGGCUCAGUCAGUGUGGGCAGAAAGCCACCCAGGUGCCGAGGAAAGAGACUGAAGGCAUAAGCUGCUCCAAUAUAAUAAAGAAAAUAGUUAGGAUAAAAGAAAGUUAUAUUAGACAUAGGAUAUAGAGAUUAUAUAUGGAUAUUAUCAAUUAUUAGUUUUUAGUAUUAAUGUUUGUUAUUUUAACUGAGGAAAAACCAGGCCAUACAGAGUCAGGAGCUGAAGGGACACUGUGAGAGGUGACCAGAAGACAAGAGUAUGAACCCUCUGUCACACCCAAAUAAGGGCUCCUUGAGGGCUCCUUGGUUUAGUGGUAGUGCCAGUGCCUGGGAAGGCACCCGUUAUUUAGCAGACCUUGGUCUAGCAGUAGUGCCAGUGCGUGGGAAGGCGGCACCCAUUACUUAGCAGACCAGGAAAGGGAGUUUCCCUUUCCUUGGGGGAGUUAGAGAACACUCUGCUCCACCAGCUCUUGUGGGAGGUCGAACAGUAGCCAGGCCUGCCCGUAGUCAUCUGGAGGCUUAAACGUCUCCCUGUGAUGCUGUGCUUCAGUGGUCAUGCUCCUUGUUCACUUUCACAUUCCGCCUGUACACCUGGCUCCUCCUUUUAAGUUCUUAGAAGAUAGCAGUAGCAGAAUUAGUAAAAGUACUAACGUCUUUGAUCUUUCUGAUAAGUGCAUAGAAAAAAUGCUGACGUAUGCUGUCCUCCCUCUCUGCUUUGGCUACCACAAAGGGAAAGGCUGCCUGUCACGUGGACAAGUGACUUGCUUGACCUUAUCAAUCACUUGGGAUGACUCACUCUCCUUACCCUGCCCCUUUGCCUUGUAUACAAUAAAUAGCAAUGCAUCCAGGCAUUCUGGGCCACUACCGGACUCCACGCAUUGGUGGUAGUGGCCCCCUGGGCCCAGCUGUCUUUCUUACUGUCUUUGUCUUGUGUCUUAUUUUCCUAUGAUCUCUUGUCUCCACACAUGAAGAGAAAACCCACAGGCCCUGUAGGGCUGGACCUUACGUCUGGCACCCAAUGAGGUCUUCUCUCUCACUGUGUGAAGGUGCGCCUUGAGCGUGGAACUCAGCGAAGGACUACCAAUGACAGAUUCCUGAGGAUUGCAGUCAAUAAGCUUGGUGGUAAGCUUGGACACUCAGAGAAUCCCGGGGACACCAUGGGACAGGCCAGUACCAAGUGCUUGGCUUAUUUGAACUUUAUAAAAACUCUCCUUAAAGAAAGAGGUAGGCCGAGGCGGGCGGAUCACGAGGUCAGGAGAUCGAGACCAUCUUGGCUAACACGGUGAAACCCCGUUUCUACUAAAAAUACAAAAAAUUAGCCGGGCGUGUUGGCGGGCGCCUGUAGUCCCAGCUACUUGGGAGGCUGAGGCAGGAGAAUGGCGUGAACCCGGGAGGCGGAGCUUGCAGUGAGCUGAGAUUGCGCCACCGCACUCCAACCUGGGAGACACAGCGAGACUCUGUCUC